Molecule: ribosomal RNA, 497 nt
Filed under: uncultured bacterium
Lineage: Bacteria
Description: partial 16S ribosomal RNA
Rfam family: Bacterial small subunit ribosomal RNA
Source: RNAcentral
GAUGAACGCUGGCGGCGUGCCUAAUACAUGCAAGUCGAGCGAACGGACGAGAAGCUUGCUUCUCUGAUGUUAGCGGCGGACGGGUGAGUAACACGUGGAUAACCUACCUAUAAGACUGGGGUAACUUCGGGAAACCGGAGCUAAUACCGGAUAAUAUUUUGAACCGCAUGGUUCAAAAGUGAAAGACGGUCUUGCUGUCACUUAUAGAUGGAUCCGCGCUGCAUUAGCUAGUUGGGAAGGUAACGGCUUACCAAGGCAACGAUGCAUAGCCGACCUGAGAGGGUGAUCGGCCACACUGGAACUGAGACACGGUCCAGACUCCUACGGGAGGCAGCAGUAGGGAAUCGUCCGCAAUGGGCGAAAGCCUGACGGAGCAACGCCGCGUGAGUGAUGAAGGUCUUCGGAUCGUAAAACUCUGUUAUUAGGGAAGAACAUAUGUGUAAGUAACUGUGCACAUCUUGACGGUACCUAAUCAGAAAGCCACGGCUAACUACGUG